Equus caballus (horse) is the source of this 4689-nucleotide non-coding RNA. Lineage: Eukaryota; Metazoa; Chordata; Mammalia; Perissodactyla; Equidae. The record is from RefSeq and is a predicted model, not a curated record.
UGAAGAAAACCCAGCAUGUAUUGAGCACCAACUGCGUGUGGCACAUUCUGGAUGCUGGAGACACAGCAGCCAACAGAGACACUGUCCCUCAUGGUGGAGACAAGGAGACAGGUGGUCAGAGGCCUGUGCUAACCUGAGAGCUGGUGUAGACAGGACCAUGCGCUGAUGGAAUUAGCCAUGUGGGGGGUUCAGGAUUCAGUAGUGGGCCCCAUGCUAGAUGGGCUGAUCUGGGAAGGCUCUGGGAAGACCUAAUGCUCGAUUGUCACUUUAACAAGAUCCCUGUGGCUCUGUGAGGACAGUAGACAGCUAGAGGAUCAGUGGGCAGGGGAGGCUGUGGCCUGCAGUGGCAGGCGUGUGACAGAGAGGGAGCUAAUGGUCAGGAGGUGGAAGCCCCAGGUCUUAGUGCUGAGACCUAGGGAGGGUCGGGUUUGGGAGGGAGGCUAUCCAUUGGUUUGACACAGGCCGAGUUCGGGGUGUGGUGGGGACAUGACUGCCUCAGGCAAGCCCUCCCUGGUACCCACAGCCCAGCCCUCCCGGCUCUUUGACCUCUGUGGUUCUGGUCCCACCUGCAGAAGGGCUUUCCCAGGCUCUCUCUAUCCCUGGGAUGUGCUGUGUGGUGGGCACGGGAAGGCCUUGGACGUGGACUUCAGGGCUGGCUCUGCUGUCUCAGGACCAACAGUGGACCUGGCCACUCCCCAAGCCCUCCUCCUCAGCCUCAGUGUCCCUGUCUGUGGGAUGGGCCAGUUGGAAGCAUCCACCUGCAAGGUCUCCUCCAGCACUCUGUUCUGUGGGGAUGUCAGAUCUUCCGGGCAGGGGCCCUAUCCUGUGACAGGCAUGGCUGGCCCCCUCCCAGGCCAGCCUCUGUUGAGUGAGCGCACGCCCAGGACCGAGAGUGUGCUCAGGAAGGCCUCUCUCCCAGGCCUGUGUCCCCGUCCGCCUCCUCCUGACCUGGGCUCUCAGGUGCCUGUGUCAGGAAUAUCCAUGGAGGCCUGAAGGGCAUGGGAGGGAGGCAGUGAGGCCACCCCUGUCCCACAGGAGCUUGUCCUCUGACCAUGGGGAGACUGGGACACCCCCACUAAGCAGGGAGGGGAGCUUGACUACUCAGGUGUCCAGGGACAAAGAGCCAUGGGCCCUCUGAGGAGGGGACACCAGGCAGGAGGACUCUUGACAAAGACAGUGGUGGGAUGGAGAGGGGAGGGCACGCUAGGCAGGGAGAAUGGCUUGAGCAAAGGGGUGGAGGGGGAAUGAACUCAUGUCUCGGAGGGAGGAAGACGCUGUUGAUGGGGGCUCAGAGCCCAGACUUGAGCCAAUCGCUUUACCAGCUUUACCAGCACCCCGUCCUGGAGCAGGCCUUGCACAGCUCUGCCUGAGCCCUCCCCUCCAGGGACUCCAGCCACCCCUUGGCACUUCCGUGUCACCCCUGUGCACCUGCUACCUGCCAUCCGCUGGAUUCUAUUUUCUGGAAUCCCACGUCUGCCAAUGGAGCUACCAGGUACAGUCUUGGGCGGGGGGUGGAAGAGAGGAUCCCUUACCUCCACCCACUUCCCAGGUCACUGUGAACUAGUGGCACCAACAGGGCAAUGAGGAAGCCAGCCACCUCUUGUAGGGGAUUGAAUGGUGACCCCCCCAAAAGGUAUGCCCCCCCAGAACCUGUGAACAUGACCUUCUUUGGAAAAAGACUCUUUACAGAUGUAAUUGACAAGGAUCUCAAGGUGAGCGCAUCCUGAAGCACCCAGGUGGCCCUAAAUCCAGUGACAAGUGUCCUUAUAAGAGGAGGAGAGACACAGAUGCAGAUCAGAAGACAUAGAGAAGGCCCUGUGACACCAGAGGCAGAGCCUGGAGUGGGGCAGCCAUGUCACAUGUGACACCUGGGGCCAACAGAAGCUGCAGGAGGCAGGAAGGUCCUAGAAGCCCAGAGUCAACACGGCCCUGGCAAUGCCAUGAUUUCAGACCUCUGGCCCAGGAUGGGACCCAAGCCAUGGCUCACCCACCAUCCAGGAUCCUUGGUCACCCUGCCUAAUGGUGGUGUAGUGAGUGGCCAGGUCACCUCAGGAUGCUGGGGUGUCAGUGAUGAAGUAAGGCACUGUGGGGGUGGGGCACAUGUGGAUGGGAGUCAGGGUUCGAGCAGGUAGGUGGGGGAUGGGGGGCUGCCCUUGAACUGGGGCAGGAGGCAGAGGGGCUGGCCCUCCUGCCGGGGCCUGAGAUCAUCGUCCUUCCUGUGGGUGGAUUCACCCAGAACCUCCAUGCUUCUGGACGUCAUUCCACGUCCUCAGCUUCUCUCCGCCAGCCCCAUGAUGGGUACCCAGAUCCAGUGAAUCAGAGGGUCUCAGACACUAAAGUCACACAUCUGAGGACAGGCCUAGGAGCCCACGAGAGGGACACAGACCCCAAUUUAUGAGGUAGAGGGCCUGCAGAGGGAGUGGCUGCUGGAGACCUGACGUCAGCCGGCUGACACACCACCUGCCUUUCAACCCCAGGGAGCCCCAGUCCUCAGGAAGGAACAGCCCUCUGGGCUUGACCUCCUCCCCCAGAACUGAAAGGCUCCUGUGAUCCCCACUGCCUCAGUUUCCCCGGGUCUCCUCUUCCUCUGAACAGAUUAACUAAGAGAAUCUGGAACCUUCUCCCCCACCCCCACCCCAUCAUCUGGGGACUCCAAGAAUCCCAACGAAAGACCCUGGGCCGUGUGUCCAGGGUUAACUGUCCAGAGGUCCGGCCGUGUGAGGGAGGGGAGCGGACACGGCCCUCAUCGCCCCGUCAUCCCGAGUCUGCAGGAGUUCCUGAACAGCAGCUUAAUUCCAGUUUCUGUAAGGAGCACACGUCACAGACUGAAAACACCAGCAGCAGCCUCCUUCUAUUCACCAGCUCUUCUCUAGUGUCUGAGGGAUCAUGACACAUGUCACACACUCAGACCAGAAAGACAUCAGGUGAGAAGGAAAAGCCCCUCUGUGUUCUUGCGGCCCCGCCCAGACAGGAGCACAUCCACAGCUGCCUGAUGGACCUUUCAGGAAGCCCUCGAUGAGGUAUUAUUAUAACCCCAUGUGACAGGGGAAGAGACAGAGGCACACAGAGUUAAGUGACUUGAACUUGGUCACACAGAGUGGCGGAGCAGAGCUCACGGGUGGGUGGUGGAGCCUGUACAUGGACUACUCAGGUGGGGCUGGGGGGCAGGGGUGGGGGCACCCUCAGGAGAGACCAGGGAGGGGUGCCCCACAGCAGAGGCAUCUGGGGCUCUCCCUCUCUCAUGCCCUCCUCUUUGUCCUCCUCCCACCUCCCCUGGUGCAGGUGGGUGAGGAGGCUGGUGCCACUGGGAGAGCAGCUGCUGGCUGAGGGGAAUGCAUGGCAGGGACUCAGGCUGCAAUGGGCCAAGGCGUCCGGGUGAGGGGGUGAUGGCACUGCUGUUGCAGCCACCACUCUCAAAGCCUCCCUCCUCUGAGGAAGGUGGGAGAUACAGAGGACACACACGGGGGCCUGGGCUCAGGAGGAGCAGCAGGAGCAUGGGAGGAAGACCUGGAGUCCUGCUGAGCUGGCCUGGGUGGGCGAUGGAUGCCCAGGCGGGCAUGGUCCCUGGGUGGGUGUGAGACUGCACAGGUGUGAUACCCGGGUGGGCAUGAGAGUCAGCAGGCCUGACACCUGAGGGGGAAUGCCGCCAGGCAGGGGUGAUAGCCGGGUAAGCAUGGUACACAGGCAGGCAUGUUAGCAAGCGACCAUGACACAUGGGGGGCAUAAUCCUCAGCAGGUAUGAUACUCGGGCAGGCACAUUUGCAGGUGGUGGCUGAACGCAUGGAUGCAGUGCACUUCUGGGCAGUCACGGGCUGUGCAGACACUGCAGGAGGCAGUGGCCAGGAGGGCCAUGCACAGGGCAAAUCUGAUGACCUGGGUGAGUGGGUGCACUUCCUGCCCACUGCCUCUCACUGAUGGACAGGACCAAUCCCCAAACCUAAAGGGACCUUGAAGACUGUCCAGUCCAAGCCCUUCACCCUACAGGAAAGCGAGUCAGCCUCAGAGAGGCGAGGUGUAGCACCCAAGGCCACACUGCUGGGCAGUGGGCACCAGGGACCCUGCCACCAGGCUGUAUCACACAAAGUUUCUUCCAUCUGUCCUGGAGUAGAGGAGGUCAGGGGCACAUGGAAGAAGCCAGUGGGAACCUACAGGGCCAGCACCUGCCCCAACUCCCCCAGCAGCAACUGGGGGGAGGCCCCUGAAGAGAGGGGAUGGUCAACCUCCUGUUGGGGUAUCAUCCUGCCACCGAACGCCCUGGGGCAUGAGCUGAUGGCAGUUGAGCAGACGAGGUGCUGGGGUCACACCGUUUGACAUGCAUCCUGCUCGCAGGCCAAGGAUGGAAAGCCGCCCUUCUCCAAACCUGCUGGGAGGGUCUCGGCACUUGGCUGUGCACCUGCCAUGGAUGGAACUAUGCCCCCUAAGUUCAUGAGUGGAAGCCGUAACCCCAGCGUGACUGUAUCUGGAGACAGGGUCUUUAAUUAAGGCUAAAUGAAGUCAUAAGGGUGGUCCUAACCCAGCAGGAUCGUGGCCUUGUAAAAGAGAGAGAGAUCUGUCUCCACCACUGAGGACACAGUGAGAUGGUGGCCACCUGCAAGCCAGGAAGAGAAUCUUUCCAGCAACUGACCUUUCUGACCCUGACCUUGGACUUCCAGCCUCCAGAACUGUGAAAAAUAAACACCUGUUGUUGAA